RNAcentral lists this ribosomal RNA (249 nucleotides) under uncultured bacterium. RNAcentral describes it as "partial 16S ribosomal RNA". It matches the Rfam family "Bacterial small subunit ribosomal RNA", at positions 335 to 603 of the family's 1533-position model. The record is from RNAcentral.
GGCCUACGGGACGCAGCAGUAGGGAAUAUUGCUCAAUGGGAGAAACCCUGAAGCAGCAACGCCGCGUGGAGGAUGAAGGUUUUCGGAUUGUAAACUCCUUUUGUUAGAGAAGAAAUGACGGUAUCUAACGAAUAAGCACCGGCCAACUCCGUGCCAGCAAACGCGGUAAUACGGAGGGUGCAAGCGUUACUCGGAAUCACUGGGCGUAAAGAGCGCGUAGGCGGGAUAGCAAGUUAGAUGUGAAAUCCU